Molecule: ribosomal RNA, 367 nt
Filed under: uncultured bacterium
Lineage: Bacteria
Description: bacterial SSU rRNA
Rfam family: Bacterial small subunit ribosomal RNA
Source: RNAcentral
GAUUAACGCUGGCGGCGUGCCUAACACAUGCAAGUCGAACGAGGUAGCAAUACCUAGUGGCAGACGGGUGAGUAACGCGUGGUCAACCUACCCUAGAGUGGGGGAUAACUAGCCGAAAGGUUAGCUAAUACCGCAUGAAACGUGCCGGGGCAUCUCGGAAUGUUGAAAGGAGCAAUCCGCUCAAGGACGGGACCGCGUCCCAUUAGCUAGUUGGUGGGGUAACGGCCUACCAAGGCACCGANGGGGUAGCUGGUUUGAGAGAGCGACCAGCCACACUGGGACUGAGAAACGGCCCAGACUCCUACGGGAGGCAGCAGUGAGGAAUUUUCCGCAAUGGGCGAAAGCCUGACGGAGCGACGCCGCGUGU